RNAcentral lists this ribosomal RNA (445 nucleotides) under uncultured bacterium. RNAcentral's name for it is "partial 16S ribosomal RNA". It matches the Rfam family "Bacterial small subunit ribosomal RNA", at positions 354 to 796 of the family's 1533-position model. The record is from RNAcentral.
GUGAGGAAUAUUGGACAAUGGGCGCAAGCCUGAUCCAGCCAUGCCGCGUGCAGGAAGACGCAUCUAUGGUGUGUAAACUGCUUUUGUACGGGAAGAAACACUCCCUCGUGAGGGAGCUUGACGGUACCGUAAGAAUAAGGAUCGGCUAACUCCGUGCCAGCAGCCGCGGUAAUACGGAGGAUCCAAGCGUUAUCCGGAAUCAUUGGGUUUAAAGGGUACGUAGGCGGUUUAAUAAGUCAGUGGUGAAAGCCCAUCGCUCAACGAUGGAACGGCCAUUGAUACUGUUAGACUUGAAUUACAAGGAAGUAACUAGAAUAUGUAGUGUAGCGGUGAAAUGCUUAGAUAUUACAUGGAAUACCAAUUGCGAAGGCAGGUUACUACUUGUGGAUUGACGCUGAUGGACGAAAGCGUGGGGAGCGAACAGGAUUAGAUACCCCGGUAGUCC